Molecule: ribosomal RNA, 424 nt
Filed under: uncultured bacterium
Lineage: Bacteria
Description: bacterial SSU rRNA
Rfam family: Bacterial small subunit ribosomal RNA
Source: RNAcentral
AACGAACGCUGGCGGCAGGCUUAACACAUGCAAGUCGAACGCCCUCUUCGGAGGGAGUGGCAGACGGGUGAGUAACGCGUGGGAAUCUACCUAGUGGUACGGAAUAACCGAGGGAAACUUCGGCUAAUACCGUAUAAGCCCUUCGGGGAAAGAUUUAUUGCCAUUAGAUGAGCCCGCGUCGGAUUAGCUAGUUGGUAGGGUAAUGGCCUACCAAGGCGACGAUCCGUAGCUGGUCUGAGAGGAUGAUCAGCCACACUGGGACUGAGACACGGCCCAGACUCCUACGGGAGGCAGCAGUGGGGAAUAUUGGACAAUGGCGAAAGCCUGAUCCAGCCAUGCCGCGUGAGUGACGAAGGCCUUAGGGUUGUAAAGCUCUUUAGCAGGGACGAUAAUGACGGUACCUGCAGAAUAAGCCCCGGCUAAC